Long non-coding RNA from Sinocyclocheilus rhinocerous, 437 nucleotides. RefSeq lists it as uncharacterized. The transcript has 3 exons. The record is from RefSeq and is a predicted model, not a curated record. NCBI's taxonomy places the organism in Eukaryota, Metazoa, Chordata, Actinopteri, Cypriniformes, Cyprinidae.
UUGCAUUCAUAGUUUCAGUGUUUUUUUUCAUGCACCACUUCAUGGAAAACAGUAUUUGGCUUUUGAUCACAGGUUUGUCCAUUUCAAAGUUAUACUGUCAUUCAGAUACAUCAUGGAAGACUUGUUUUAAAUCUAGAUUGUGAUACCUCAUUCUUAAGUGUGAAUACAUUUUUUCUUAGUGUUGUUGUGAAAUAUUUUCCAGCUCACUACGCAUUUCAGUGGUACUUCAUUGUCCUCCUGUGCUGAGAUGAGACGGCACUCUAAUACCUGCAGCACGAGCAUAAAAUUCUGCGACUGCGAUGUUUCUGAACAGCUGCAAAUGGAUGAUCCCAUCAGACAUGUCUAGAAGGUAUGUGAUGUCAUGUAUAAUUUGGUUAUUAUGAGCAUAGAUGAUAACCGUAGCAUUGCAGGAAUAAAAACGCCAUUCAUUUUAUCCA